This 324-nucleotide ribosomal RNA is filed under the name uncultured eukaryote. RNAcentral describes it as "partial 18S ribosomal RNA". It matches the Rfam family "Eukaryotic small subunit ribosomal RNA", at positions 1470 to 1796 of the family's 1831-position model. The record is from RNAcentral.
CCCAUAGAUGUUCUGGGCCGCACGCGCGCUACACUGAUGCAUUCAACGAGUUUCUUCCUGGUCCGAGAGGAAUGGGUAACCUUUUGAAAGUGCAUCGUGAUAGGGAUAGACUAUUGCAAUUAUUGGUCUUCAACGAGGAAUUCCUAGUAGACGUAGUUCAUCAGACUGCAUCGAUUACGUCCCUGCCCUUUGUACACACCGCCCGUCGCUCCUACCGAUUGAAUGCUCAGGUGAGCCAUUCGGACUUUCAUCAUGCUGGUUUCCAGUUUUGAUGAAGGAAAGUCUUGCGAACCUUAUCAUUUAGAGGAAGGAGAAGUCGUAACA